ACAUCAUCCAGAGAGGUGGAGGGACCGGCCCGUAGAAACCUCGGCAACCGCUGUUUGCAGGUGCCAAUUCCGGCAGAGACUACCUCCCGGUAGGGUAUCUGAAAGAUGAAUG
Molecule: non-coding RNA, 112 nt
Filed under: Ornatilinea apprima
Lineage: Bacteria; Bacillati; Chloroflexota; Anaerolineae; Anaerolineales; Anaerolineaceae
Description: SAM-I sequence
Rfam family: SAM riboswitch aptamer (S box leader)
About the family: The SAM riboswitch is found upstream of a number of genes which code for proteins involved in methionine or cysteine biosynthesis in Gram-positive bacteria. The SAM riboswitch acts at the level of transcription termination control.
Source: Rfam by way of RNAcentral